RNAcentral lists this ribosomal RNA (914 nucleotides) under uncultured marine archaeon. Its description in RNAcentral is "bacterial SSU rRNA". It matches the Rfam family "Archaeal small subunit ribosomal RNA", at positions 1 to 921 of the family's 1478-position model. The record is from RNAcentral.
UUCCGGUUGAUCCCGCCGGACCUGACUGCUAUCGGAUUGAUACUAAGCCAUGCGAGUCUUUGUAGUAAUACAAGGCAGACGGCUCAGUAACACGUAGUCAACCUACCCUAUGGACAAGAAUAAUCUCGGGAAACUGGGCAUAAUUCUUGAUAGAUCAUAAUGCCUGGAAUGGUUUAUGGUUAAAAUGAUUCGUCGCCAUAGGAUGGGACUGCGGCCUAUCAGCUUGUUGGUGAGGUAAUGGCCCACCAAGGCGAUUACAGGUACGGGCUCUGAGAGGAGAAGCCCGGAGAUGGGUACUGAGACACGGACCCAGGCCCUAUGGGGCGCAGCAGGCGAGAAAACUUUGCAAUGUGCGAAAGCACGACAAGGUUAAUCCGAGUGAUUUCUGCUAAAGAAAUCUUUUGCCAGUCAUAAAACCACUGGUGAAUAAGGGGUGGGCAAGUUCUGGUGUCAGCCGCCGCGGUAAAACCAGCACCUCAAGUGGUCAGGAUGAUUAUUGGGCCUAAAGCAUCCGUAGCCGGCUUUGUAAGUUUUCGGUUAAAUCCAUGUGCUCAACGCAUGGGCUGCCGAAAAUACUGCAUAGCUAGGGAGUGGGAGAGGUAGACGGUACUCAGUAGGAAGGGGUAAAAUCCUUUGAUCUAUUGAUGACCACCUGUGGCGAAGGCGGUCUACCAGAACACGUUCGACGGUGAGGGAUGAAAGCUGGGGGAGCAAACCGGAUUAGAUACCCGGGUAGUCCCAGCUGUAAACGAUGCAGACUCGAUGAUGCAUUGGCAUAAUAGCCAGUGCAGUGUCGCAGGGAAGCCGUUAAGUCUGCCGCCUGGGAAGUACGUACGCAAGUAUGAAACUUAAAGGAAUUGGCGGGGGAGCACCACAAGGGGUGAAGCCUGCGGUUCAAUUGGAUUCAACGCCGG